Molecule: ribosomal RNA, 372 nt
Filed under: uncultured organism
Description: partial 16S ribosomal RNA
Rfam family: Bacterial small subunit ribosomal RNA
Source: RNAcentral
GUAGGUGGCAAGCGUUGUCCGGAAUUAUUGGGCGUAAAGCGCGCGCAGGCGGUUCUUUAAGUCUGAUGUAAAGCCCACGGCUCAACCGUGGAGGGUCAUUGGAAACUGGAGAACUUGAGUACAGAGGAGGAAAGCGGAAUUCCACGUGUAGCGGUGAAAUGCGUAGAGAUGUGGAGGAACACCAGUGGCGAAGGCGGCUUUCUGGUCUGUAACUGACGCUGAGGCGCGAAAGCGUGGGGAGCAAACAGGGAUUAGAUACCCUGGUAGUCCACGCCGUAAACGAUGAGUGCUAAGUGUUAGGGGGUUUCCGCCCCCUUAGUGCUGCAGCUAACGCAUUAAGCACUCCGCCUGGGGAGUACGGCCGCAAGGCUG